RNAcentral lists this transfer RNA (63 nucleotides) under Atkinsoniella longiuscula. RNAcentral's name for it is "tRNA-Leu". The record is from RNAcentral. Lineage: Eukaryota; Metazoa; Arthropoda; Insecta; Hemiptera; Cicadellidae.
AUUGAUUUGGCAGAUUAGUGCUUUAAAUUUAGAAUUUAAUAAUGUAUAAUUAUACAAUCAAUU